UACGUAGGGACCAAGCGUUGUCCGGAAUCAUUGGGCGUAAAGCGCGUGUAGGCGGCCCGGUAAGUCCGCUGUGAAAGUCGGGGGCUCAACCCUCGAAAGCCGGUGGAUACUGUCGGGCUCGAGUACGGAAGAGGCGAGUGGAAUUCCUGGUGUAGCGGUGAAAUGCGCAGAUAUCAGGAGGAACACCAAUUGCGAAGGCAGCUCGCUGGGACGUUACUGACGCUGAGACGCGAAAGCGUGGGUAGCAAACAGG
RNAcentral lists this ribosomal RNA (253 nucleotides) under uncultured bacterium. Its description in RNAcentral is "partial 16S ribosomal RNA". It matches the Rfam family "Bacterial small subunit ribosomal RNA", at positions 524 to 776 of the family's 1533-position model. The record is from RNAcentral.